CUUAGUGGCGGACGGGUGAGUAACGCGUGGGGAACCUGCCCUGUACAGGGGGAUAACACUUAGAAAUAGGUGCUAAUACCGCAUAAGCGCACAGUAUCGCAUGAUACAGUGUGAAAAACUCCGGUGGUACAGGAUGGACCCGCGUCUGAUUAGCUUGUUGGCGGGGUAGGGGCCCACCAAGGCGACGAUCAGUAGCCGGCCUGAGAGGGUGGACGGCCACAUUGGGACUGAGACACGGCCCAAACUCCUACGGGAGGCAGCAG
Molecule: ribosomal RNA, 263 nt
Filed under: uncultured bacterium
Lineage: Bacteria
Description: partial 16S ribosomal RNA
Rfam family: Bacterial small subunit ribosomal RNA
Source: RNAcentral